CUUCUGCUCUGAUUUUCCCUAGUCAAAACUGACUAAGGCUUGUUUGCAGGUUUUCAGUGACAGGACUCGGGGAGAUGGACUGGCAAGAGGUGAAGUGUGAACCAAGCCUCCAUGGCAGGGCUGGUGUUCUAAUCAGGGCUGGGGAACUUUCUGCUGGGAAGCUGUCAGUGAAGCACACUUGUGAAAGACACAGAUGCACGUGAAUCCUGCAGUUGCUGAUAGACUUGUGAACAUGAACAUAGAAGCUGAUUGCACCUGGAGCACUAUGCAUACAUUAUGGACUUCCUACUAUGAUCUGUGGCAAUGAAUAGAGAAAAGAGCAUUUUAAAGAAGAGAUUCCAAUCUUUCAUUUUCUUUAUAAUUGUUUCUUUGUAUUACUCUUUGUAUUACUCAAUAAAGUUAACAACCCAAGAACUAC
Gallus gallus (chicken) is the source of this 418-nucleotide long non-coding RNA. RefSeq lists it as uncharacterized. NCBI's taxonomy places the organism in Eukaryota, Metazoa, Chordata, Aves, Galliformes, Phasianidae. The record is from RefSeq and is a predicted model, not a curated record. The transcript has 2 exons.